Molecule: long non-coding RNA, 862 nt
Organism: Rhopalosiphum maidis (corn leaf aphid)
Lineage: Eukaryota; Metazoa; Arthropoda; Insecta; Hemiptera; Aphididae
Exons: 3
Source: RefSeq, a predicted model, not a curated record
UCGGGCGAGUCGUCCGGCGGCGGCGGCGUGUGCUGAAGGAAAAGCGAGCGAGAAAAGAAGAGGAGAAUAAAAACCUUAAAAACCGAUCGCGCGUGAGUGUGCGCGCGCCCGCGGUGUGUGCCGUUCAGUCGUAGUCCGAUCGUUUCCGUCGUUGUCGUCGUCUGCCGUUUUUCUCUCCCUCGACUCAUCGUUUAUUCGUUCACGGCGGCGUUGUCGUUAGUGGUGGCGUUUACACCCCCCGAAGAAGGACGGCCAUAGGAUAUCACGCUUAUCAUUGUUAGACGAAUCGCCCAUCACAAGAUUAGAACAAUGAAAAUAAGCGUUCAGUUGAAAUUUUCGCUAGAUUUAACUAAAACAAAAAAGAAAGAAAAACGAGUUUUAUUCAUUGACCAACACACGAAGCCUUAUAAUAUUGUUACCAGACACCGGUGGUAUGAGACCGUAAGCCACCAGGUAUCGGGUUUCGACAGUCGUCUUGCAUUACCACGUGUUCCCACCCAUCAACCCUGAGGAAAUUGUACUCGCAUGACGGAAACAAAUGAGUACCUACUGUUAUAUUUUAUGCAACGUCGCUGCAGCACGCCUUUUCCCUCUAUAUGCAAUAAUAGACCAUAGGUCAUCAUAGAAUAAAACGAUUUUGCGUAUAUAAGUCAAAGGAUUUCAGGCAGACAAGCACAGUAUUCACAAGACUCUUCUUUUGGACGUAUCAAAGUGUAUACUAUGUAUGGUUUGUAAAACAAGAGCUGUGUAUUCAGAUUGGUAAACGUCGGUGAAUACUGGUUUCGUAUUGGUGCAUAGAAGUAUUUUUUGAACUUGUCUAGCACCAUUUGAAACCAGUACUUAUUGACGGGAUGUCUUCUAG